GGCGAACGGGUGAGUAACACGUGGGUAAUCUGCCCUACACUCUGGGAUAAGCCUGGGAAACUGGGUCUAAUACUGGAUAUGACCUUUCUCCUUAUGGGGUUUGGUGGAAAGUUUUUCGGUGUAGGAUGAGCCCGCGGCCUAUCAGCUUGUUGGUGGGGUGAUGGCCUACCAAGGCGACGACGGGUAGCCGGCCUGAGAGGGUGAUCGGCCACAUUGAGACUGAGAUACGGCCCAG
Molecule: ribosomal RNA, 235 nt
Filed under: uncultured Actinomycetales bacterium
Lineage: Bacteria; Bacillati; Actinomycetota; Actinomycetes; Actinomycetales
Description: partial 16S ribosomal RNA
Rfam family: Bacterial small subunit ribosomal RNA
Source: RNAcentral